Non-coding RNA from Dipodomys ordii (Ord's kangaroo rat), 46 nucleotides. Lineage: Eukaryota; Metazoa; Chordata; Mammalia; Rodentia; Heteromyidae. The record is from Rfam.
CCAAAGGCUCUUUUCAGAGCCACCCACAUCUUCAUAUGAGAGCUCG